CUAACUAUAAAAACCCCAUCGAGUCGCUUGCGGCGGAGAGAGGUUCUUCCUGCCAAGUGCUGCAUUUCCAAGGCUCUGUAAGUUUUCCUUCUCUUUUUCUCUCCUAGGCUUCACUCAUUUCCAUUGGCUUCACCUUUGUUUGUACCGAGAAAAAAAAAAUGCCCUUAUGAGGGGGAGCAGGAAAGAAAAGACAUUAGAAUUGCUUAGGAUCUAGUAUUAACGGAUAUAGAAUCACUGAAUUGAAAUUUUUUACUUUUUUGAGAUAUCUAGGGUUUAUUCUCGUUAAUUGUUUGCUCUAUUUUUGUUGGGCAUAUCGUACUUUCUCAUACUAGAAUUUUAAUGGGGGACUUUUGGUAGUAUUUAUCUAGGGAAUCAGCAACUAUAACAUGUUGCUUAAACCAUUAUUCUCGUUUCUUUUUAAGUAUAUCUAUUGCGAAUUUCUUUCUUCUGAAGCAAGGAAUUUAAAUUAUAUUUAGUUAAUUAGCUGAAAUUGCAUAACACUAGAUGUGUUCAUAAUUCAUGGCUUUGUACUUGUUAUCUUAAUUAUAUUUCUGAUGAUCUUAAUCGAUGCUAAUUGAUUGUUUUAGUUUUUCCAAUUUUCAUUCAUUCAUUUAUUCUAUCUUAGCUGUAUGGUAGCUGUAUGCAAGGUCACAAGGGUCAUCUCUGUCAUUGGGGUUUUCUCUAUAAAUUAAUAAUACCAGUAACAAAAGUUUCUUGGAAAAAAAAUGGAGGACAUCAUCUCCAUGGAUGAAAAAUUCUUUGACGUACUGUUUAGCAAGCCUCUGACAGAGAAAACAGAUCUUCGGCAUCAGUUGCUUGUUCUGUCCAAGGUCCUCGCCGACGACAAGAAACCGAUUGGGGUGACUUAAUCAUUUCAAUAGAACAGAAUGGAAAGCAAUGGAAGUUUCCCCUAGCCACUCGCACAACUGAUCGUAGCAAACCUUCUAAAUACAUGAAACCAACGAUUCCCGCAGGCUCGUGGCAUCCAUUCGUACAAGAGUUUGGCCUUUGUGCAGGUGACGGGGUGAUUUUCUUUAUAAGGAAACGCGAUGGAGCUCGUAAUAUACACGUUCGCGGCAUGAGACAAGCUUUCCGGCUCAUGGGUAAGAGGGUUUGGAAAGAGGUGGAGAAGGUUGACAACCAGGCUUCAACAUCUCAACCGAGGGGACCUGCCUAGCUUCAGUCUUGAGGCCUUUAUGACGGUAGCUAGCUCCUAAGGGAUCAUUAUCUAUCUUCUGUGUCUUAGUUUAGCUGUUUGGUUAUGCAUGCAAGCUAUGGUGUGUUAUUUUUCUUCUCUUAUUAUUGAGAGUCGACCGGUCGGGGUUAUAAUCGUUAGUGUCCACUCUAGAACCGAUUUUCUAGCCUCUUUCACUUUUCUUUUUUGAUUUACAAAGAAUGGUCGAACUUUAAAAAAUUGUGUGUACAUGUUAUGGUGUUGAAAAUAGAUUUAUACAACUGUGUUUUGAUAUGUGGGAACUGUGCGAUAUCCAGGGAUGUGGGAGAUUGUGUAUUGUAAUUGUGUUAAUAAUAAAAUUGUACUUUGUAAUGAGGAGGUUGAGGAGGUGAGCCGGUGGAUAAUUUUUUAUGUUGCGUGUUGGAUUUUAUGGAAGUGGAGAAAUUCUGUUGUGUCAUGAAGAGAGGGCUAAUAGACCUGAUAAUGCUAGAGCGGCUAUUGCAGUGUUCUCUAAGCACUGUGUGCAGGCUUCUGAUCUGGCUAUUGUAGUAUUCUGUUGUGCUUUCGAGAGAUUGGGAGGUGCAGAUUAAACAUAUCUAUACUGACUUUCCAACUUAGGCCGUUCUUGCUUUUUGUGUGUUGCCCAGUUUGAAGCGCCACCUAUUGGGUUGACCAGCCUUCUCUCCUCCACGACAUUUGUGAUCUUACUGUGUUUGUGUUUCCCCUCUUUCCAAAAUAAAUAAAUAAAAUUGUACUUCGUGAUUGUGUUUUUGAAAUUGCGUGAAUAUAUU
This 1965-nucleotide unclassified non-coding RNA is filed under the name Hevea brasiliensis (rubber tree). The record is from RNAcentral. Lineage: Eukaryota; Viridiplantae; Streptophyta; Magnoliopsida; Malpighiales; Euphorbiaceae.